This 490-nucleotide ribosomal RNA is filed under the name uncultured bacterium. Its description in RNAcentral is "partial 16S ribosomal RNA". It matches the Rfam family "Bacterial small subunit ribosomal RNA", at positions 30 to 507 of the family's 1533-position model. The record is from RNAcentral.
AUUGAACGCUGGCGGCAGGCCUAACACAUGCAAGUCGAACGGUAACAGGAAACAGCUUGCUGUUUCGCUGACGAGUGGCGGACGGGUGAGUAAUGUCUGGGAAACUGCCUGAUGGAGGGGGAUAACUACUGGAAACGGUAGCUAAUACCGCAUAACGUCGCAAGACCAAAGAGGGGGACCCUCGGGCCUCUUGCCAUCGGAUGUGCCCAGAUGGGAUUAGCUUGUUGGUGGGGUAACGGCUCACCAAGGCGACGAUCCCUAGCUGGUCUGAGAGGAUGACCAGCCACACUGGAACUGAGACACGGUCCAGGCUCCUACGGGAGGCAGCAGUGGGGAAUAUUGCACAAUGGGCGCAAGCCUGAUGCAGCCAUGCCGCGUGUAUGAAGAAGGCCUUCGGGUUGUAAAGUACUUUCAGCGGGGAGGAAGGGAGUAAAGUUAAUACCUUUGCUCAUUGACGUUACCCGCAGAAGAAGCACCGGCUAACUCCGUG